CGCGUAAGAACUUGCCCUUUAGACUGGGAUAACAGAGGGAAACUUCUGAUAAUACUGGAUAAGUUAGUAUAUCGCAUGAUAUGCAAAUGAAAGCUACGGCACUAAAGGAGAGCUUUGCGUCCUAUUAGCUAGUUGGUAAGGUAAGAGCUUACCAAGGCGAUGAUAGGUAGCCGGCCUGAGAGGGUGGACGGCCACAAGGGGACUGAGAUACGGCCCUUACUCCUACGGGAGGCAGCAGCG
RNAcentral lists this ribosomal RNA (240 nucleotides) under uncultured Leptotrichia sp. RNAcentral describes it as "partial 16S ribosomal RNA". It matches the Rfam family "Bacterial small subunit ribosomal RNA", at positions 114 to 356 of the family's 1533-position model. Lineage: Bacteria; Fusobacteriati; Fusobacteriota; Fusobacteriia; Fusobacteriales; Leptotrichiaceae. The record is from RNAcentral.